CGAGAGUGUGUGUGCGUACGUGCGUGUAUGUGCGUGUACGUGUGCGUUUGCCUGUGUACGUAUGCGUACUUGUGUGUAUGUGUGCGUGCGUGUACGUGUGUGUGCGUGGAGCUGUGAUGCGGUGGUUCACACACCGUGCUAUGAACCCCGCGACUCGAGUUUGAUUUCCGGCCACAGAUAACAUCAGUGGCGGGGUGUUGCAUAAUCUUUUCUCCUGGACUUACCCGAGAUGAAAGCCACACCAACCUUCCCAUGUGCAGUGCUCCCUUUACUAUGGGCCCGCAAUCCGUACUUGCCCCUAUGAACGAUGAUGCUAGAUGGGGGAUCGUUGUCUUGUGUGUGUGUGUCUUGGCACCAGGUGAACAAUCGAUGCCAUCCUGGAGAGAGUAGGUGGAGAGGCAACACUGAAUCUAGGGGACAGUUCAGUUCGAUGGUCCAGGUGGUCAUUGGGGCAUUUAAAUAUGUAGGGUGCUCACUGCCAUCAGAAGAUUCUGUUGACCGCAGGGGCCUCUUGAGAGUAGCACAGGCAUGGGUUAAAUAAUUGCAGAACCGUGUACUAAUUUGAAUGUAAAUUGCUGCUACAGCAACAGCAUAUAUCAAUUAAUCAAUGGGAUCCUUUAAGUAUUUAUAUCCAGGUAAGGACUCCUGUAUAUACUAGGGGUAGAUAGGGGCCUCGUUAGUUUUUUCAUGUCUGUUGCUACCAAGACUCGGAGACCAGGCCUGUAAAUGCAUGCAUGCGUUACAACAUUACGAACCUCGAUGGUGCAAGAUUUGCGUAAUUAUUACUUCCCAGAAGUCUUUAACUGUGAUCUUCAGCUCAGCAGAGUCCUAAAAAUAUAAUAACCUUCAUUACAGAAUUUUUAUUCCCAUUUCCAAAUCAAGGAUGGGGGUGUGCGGAAUGUAAUGAGCCAAGCCAUUUCGGGGCUAUUUACAUCUAAAUGAUGUGACCGAUAGCAUUAUCUCCCCAUUUCAUUUCCAGUUUCACCAAAGCGUGUAAAUGUAUGGGGAGGAUGGACAUAAGAGUUUAGAGGUAGAGGAGGAGGAGGGUGGAGGAGGCGUAGCUGAUGGGUUUCGCUAAAUUCUUGUAUCAUCUGCCAAGGGCUAUUAAUCCAGAGGGGACGUACUUGCGUGCAGAGACCUCUGCAUCUGCCAUCGCCCUCCCCCGGAUUUCCCAGGGUGCACCGCAAAGCCACAGAAGACGCGCUCGAGAGGCGCGCUGCACACCGAUUGCAGUAUCUGCUCACGAACGACUCCGUCGACCCCCAUCCACGCCCACGUCAUUUGGCAUUGACGAGUCGCAGUUUGGAAGGGUCGCUGCUCUGCGGCAGUUCCCGGGUGGUGCCUCGGCUGUGGGUAUGGGGCCAGUGCUGUGGCUACGAGGGCAGCACAAGCAGCUGUUGUCCGCUCGAUGCGUGCCAUCGAUAUCGCACCACGAGCAACCUGAACCAAUAAACUGCAACCGGCAGAAGUUGGCAAGUCUCUUGCGAGCAUUUUUGACGUCCGUGUCUCGUGCCCUCUGGUCUUGUACCAUUCUUCUUGUGAGUGUCGUUUCUUCUGGCUGAUUUCCUUCCACUGCAGGAGAUAUCUUUCAAACUCACAAGCGCAGAAACUUGUCCUAUACAUUAUAAUGUAAACAAAUUCGAUGUAUUUCUUUAUCGAUUCUCUUCUUUAGUGAUUGGUUUAAUUAAUUAAUUGACCAAUCUUUAUGAUUAAUUCACUACAAUUAGCUUGGUGUAGGGAUCAUUUUGGCAAGUGUCACUUUCUGUGGAAGCGUAACUCUGGAGCGCGAUUGCUGCAUCUGCCAGUAGAGAACUGCAAGCGAUAUUAUGUAGGCCGACGGCAUGCUGGCCAUCUAUUGACUUCACAACACGACAGAGCACUUAUUUUCCUUUGAUUUUAACAAAGACAAAGAUCCCCCGUGUAGCCUUUAAAAGACCUUUGGGGUCUGUGCUCUUUAGCCAGAAACUGAUGAAGGCUGUAAUGGGUUGGGUGGCCAACACAACAUCCCCCGGCGGCCUUUGUCUCCCCAGUGCUGAUGUUUACACACAGCACCAGCUGUUCAUUUAAGGCAAAGUCGAUCUAGGGGAGGCCCAUGAUCAGAUCAGAUAUUCACCACCGUUUUUGGCCGUGAGCGGGAAUCGAACUUGGGUCGCCGGGUUAGUAGCAGAGUUUGUUAACCACUGUGCCACCACCCCCCGUCAUGUGUGUAUAUAUAUUCACGCACCUUGUAUAUGCUGUGAGUAUGCACAAUCCCUAUGGAAUCUACAUAUUCAUUGCAAAGCUCUACUGCAGGAGACGUGUUAUGGUUGAGAGCAGCUCGAGUUUCCAGCGUUCUUCCGGAUUUGGGUGAGAUCCUGGGAUGGCAACAGCACGAUCCCAAAAGGGGGAUCGAGACUUGUGAGUCUGCGGCGAGAAACAUUGUUGAGAGGCCAGAGCGAUGGAGUGGAUCAGAGCAGGAGCGAUAACCGCAGGCCCAAUGCGGCCCGAGAGGUGGCGGCUUCGCUCGGCCCUCGUGGCGGUCGCCCCGUUUGCCUCCAGCGGGGCCGGCGCGCCGUCGUCAUUCAUCCCCAGGCGUCGCCGUCGUCGCCUUGCGGGACGACGACGCCGCCGUUGGGUUUCGCUGCCACAUGCCUGCUGGAUUCCUCCCGCAUUCCAGCCUUUGUGUGCGCCCCACUCA
Non-coding RNA from Petromyzon marinus (sea lamprey), 2677 nucleotides. Lineage: Eukaryota; Metazoa; Chordata; Hyperoartia; Petromyzontiformes; Petromyzontidae. The record is from RefSeq and is a predicted model, not a curated record.